Molecule: ribosomal RNA, 426 nt
Filed under: uncultured bacterium
Lineage: Bacteria
Description: bacterial SSU rRNA
Rfam family: Bacterial small subunit ribosomal RNA
Source: RNAcentral
GUGAGGAAUUUUCGGCAAUGGGCGCAAGCCUGACCGAGCAACGCCGCGUGCAGGAUGAAGGUCUUCGGAUCGUAAACUGCUUUUCCCAGGGAAGAGAACGGACGGUACCUGGGGAAGAAGCCUCGGCUAACUACGUGCCAGCAGCCGCGGUAAGACGUAGGAGGCAAGCGUUAUCCGGAUUUAUUGGGCGUAAAGCGCACGCAGGCGGUCCGCCAAGUUCACGGCGACAGUCACCGGCUUCACCGGUGAAGGAUGGUGAACACUGGCGGACUUGAGAGCGAGAGAGGGACAUGGAACUCCAGGUGGAGCGGUGAAAUGCGUAGAGAUCUGGAAGAACACCAAAGGCGAAGGCAGUGUCCUGGCUCGUAUCUGACGCUCAGGGGCGAAAGCUAGGGGAGCGAACAGGAUUAGAAACCCGAGUAGUCC